CCUGAGAGGGCGGACGGCCACAUUGGGACUGAGACACGGCCCAAACUCCUACGGGAGGCAGCAGUGGGGAAUAUUGGACAAUGGGGGCAACCCUGAUCCAGCCAUGCCGCGUGUGUGAAGAAGGCUUUCGGGUUGUAAAGCACUUUCAGUGAGGAGGAAAACUCUGCGACUAAUACUCGUAGGGCUUGACGUUACUCACAGAAGAAGCACCGGCUAACUCCGUGCCAGCAGCCGCGGUAAUACGGAGGGUGCAAGCGUUAAUCGGAAUUACUGGGCGUAAAGCGCACGUAGGCGGAUCA
This 299-nucleotide ribosomal RNA is filed under the name Chrysotila carterae. Its description in RNAcentral is "partial Bacterial small subunit ribosomal RNA". It matches the Rfam family "Bacterial small subunit ribosomal RNA", at positions 291 to 582 of the family's 1533-position model. Lineage: Eukaryota; Haptophyta; Isochrysidales; Isochrysidaceae. The record is from RNAcentral.